Molecule: ribosomal RNA, 497 nt
Filed under: uncultured bacterium
Lineage: Bacteria
Description: partial 16S ribosomal RNA
Rfam family: Bacterial small subunit ribosomal RNA
Source: RNAcentral
GACGAACGCUGGCGGCGUGCCUAAUACAUGCAAGUUGAGCGCUGAAGGUUGGUACUUGUACCCACUGGAUGAGCAGCGAACGGGUGAGUAACGCGUGGGGAAUCUGCCUUUGAGCGGGGGACAACAUUUGGAAACGAAUGCUAAUACCGCAUAAAAACUUUAAACACAAGUUUUAAGUUUGAAAGAUGCAAUUGCAUCACUCAAAGAUGAUCCCGCGUUGUAUUAGCUAGUUGGUGAGGUAAAGGCUCACCAAGGCGAUGAUACGUAGCCGACCUGAGAGGGUGAUCGGCCACAUUGGGACUGAGACACGGCCCAAACUCCUACGGGAGGCAGCAGUAGGGAAUCUUCGGCAAUAGACGAAAGUCUGACCGAGCAACGCCGCGUGAGUGAAGAAGGUUGUCGGAUCGUAAAACUCUGUUGGUAGAGAAGAACGUUGGUGAGAGUGGAAAGCUCAUCAAGUGACGGUAACUACCCAGAAAGGGACGGCUAACUACGUG